GACUAGCCGAAUGCCCCUGCGUUACCACGGAAUAAUAGAGAACAUGUUGACACGUGGUUUCCAUUCAUACAACGAUGACUAAUACCUAUUAUCUCUACCACUUCUUCCCUCCAAUAGUUAUUGUGCCUCCUGAUGCACUCUCGAAGACAAAACAACAUCUAUGUCCCCACCACUCCUUCCCUCCAACAGUUAUUGUGCCUCCUUAUGCACUCUCAAAGACAAAACAACAUCUAUCUCCCCACCACUCCUUCCCCUCUACAUCAAUAGUCUUCAUCCAUCUUUGCUCUAGCAUUGUUGUCACUUAAGAAAAUCAGUCAUCUCGCCUUACCUUUGCUUCAGAACCUUUUUGUCAUAUGCAAAUCUAUGGCAAUGUCCUCGCAUACUGUGAGAGAUGAUGUUAUUAAUUUUUCA
This 411-nucleotide ribosomal RNA is filed under the name Triticum aestivum (bread wheat). RNAcentral describes it as "partial small subunit ribosomal RNA". The record is from RNAcentral. Lineage: Eukaryota; Viridiplantae; Streptophyta; Magnoliopsida; Poales; Poaceae.